GGGUCGAUGGCCGAGUGGCUGAAGGCGCACGCUUGGAAAGCGUGUAAACGGAAACGUUUCGGGGGUUCGAAUCCCCCUCAACCCG
This 85-nucleotide transfer RNA is filed under the name Basilea psittacipulmonis DSM 24701. It matches the Rfam family "tRNA". Rfam says of the family: Transfer RNA (tRNA) molecules are approximately 80 nucleotides in length. Their secondary structure includes four short double-helical elements and three loops (D, anti-codon, and T loops). Further hydrogen bonds mediate the characteristic L-shaped molecular structure. tRNAs have two regions of fundamental functional importance: the anti-codon, which is responsible for specific mRNA codon recognition, and the 3' end, to which the tRNAs corresponding amino acid is attached (by aminoacyl-tRNA synthetases). tRNAs cope with the degeneracy of the genetic code in two manners: having more than one tRNA (with a specific anti-codon) for a particular amino acid; and 'wobble' base-pairing, i.e. permitting non-standard base-pairing at the 3rd anti-codon position. Lineage: Bacteria; Pseudomonadati; Pseudomonadota; Betaproteobacteria; Burkholderiales; Alcaligenaceae. The record is from Rfam by way of RNAcentral.